GGCGCACGAGUGCACUUUGUUCGGGACGGUAGCGGGAUCGUACGAGGGCGCCGGGUUUCCAGAUCGCGAGUAAGAAAGAUGGCUGAGGAACAGCCGAAGUACAAAUUGAUCUACUUCAAUGCACGAGGUCGUGCCGAGCAUAUUCGCUACAUAUUCGCUUAUGUGGGCAUCGACUAUAUCGACGAAAGGAUCUCCAACGAUCGCUGGCCUGAGCUUAAAAAGUCGAUGCCUUACGGGAUGCUGCCAGUUCUGGAGAUAGACGGCAAGCCGAUAGCGCAAAGCAACGCCGUGGCGCGUUACCUGGCCCGUGAGCACAAUCUCGCGGGCAAGGACGAAUGGGAAUCGAUGCUGUGCGACGUGCUGGUCGAUACCUUGGGAGACUUGAAACAAUUUAUCUUUCAAUAUCGCACAGAGGAGGAUCACUUUAAGAAGGAGGAGAAGAAGGCGAAGCUUCUGAAGGAAACUAUACCGUUCUACCUGAAUAAGUUCGAGCAAACUGUUGCUGAGAAUGGCGGUUACGCAGUCGGUUCUAUGACCACGUGGGCGGACUUCGUGUUCACCGUGGCGUUGGAGAACUUUGAGAACAUUUUCGGCGCGACUGCCUUAGAGAAUUAUCCGGCGUUACGUGGCUUGAAGAAACGGGUACAUGAAAUUUCAGCGAUCGCCGACUGGCUGUCACGGCGACCUCAUUCAGAGUUUUGAAAUGUCGAUUCAACGACGGAAACCGGAAGGCAACAUCGACGGUAUCAUAAACAACCAGCAAAGGAAAAUGCAAGAAAUGCAACAAAAUAGACUGCAGUCAAUAAGAUUGAUUGCAACGAAGAUUUAAAGGUAAUUUGUAAACAUCGUCAUGCUUUUAUCAAUAAGACGGUAUCUUUAUAAAUGUACUACAUAAGAUCUAGCUCGAUGUACUCUUCAUAAGAUCAUCGUGUUUGAACGAGAUAAUAAACGAGAAGAUGCGCUUGUAAAAUAUAUCUUGCCAUUAGAACGGGAGCAGCGGAAAUAAUGCGUAGACUUUUUAAUGUGCUACGAUAUAUGAAGAUGAUAAAAAGCUUUGUUCUUUCGUCAGCGCUUAAAGACGUGCCCACAGGUACGGCGAUAUAGUCAAUUGUAAUUAUCAAACGAGGACUUUAGGAGAGAGAACUGGCUGCAUGAGUUGUAAUGUAUAUGUUGCGACGUUAUACAUAUAUGUAAUGUUAAGUGUACUAUUAAGUGUUGAGAUUACAAAUGAUGUAAUAUAAAUGUUAUUGCGAUUACAUAAGGAGCAGUAUGACUGAUAAUAAUAAUGUGAUGCAAACAAUUAAGAGUCCAAUUGAUCUCAAUGCAUAUAUUAAUAUCAAUAACACCUCAUUCAUAAAGUAUAAAAAAUAUGCAAAAUUUAUGUGCAUGCACUUACCACUUGACUGAAUCAUGAAAUAUGUUUGUAUCAAAGUCCAUUUAUUUUUCUCGCGAUUGAAUUAUUUUGUUUUAAGAUUCAGAGC
Molecule: RNA transcript, 1481 nt
Organism: Mycetomoellerius zeteki
Lineage: Eukaryota; Metazoa; Arthropoda; Insecta; Hymenoptera; Formicidae
Gene name: glutathione S-transferase
Exons: 6
Source: RefSeq, a predicted model, not a curated record